Long non-coding RNA from Neogale vison (American mink), 1659 nucleotides. The record is from Ensembl. Lineage: Eukaryota; Metazoa; Chordata; Mammalia; Carnivora; Mustelidae.
AUGAGAGCCCACAUCUGCCCGAUUCCGGAACCCCUGGCCUUCCCUUGCACCUACCGUCUCCUUUCUGGACAUCCCACAUGUGACUGUAGCCGUUGGUCAGAGCUCCGUUUUCUGACCAUGUCUCUGCUACAGCCUGCCUCCUGUUGGCCCUACAGAAAUUCAAACCAAGUCUUCCAGAAACAGCUACCAGAAACAACUGCAUUUUUUUUUUUAAAGAUUUUAUUUAUUUAUUUGAGAGAGAGAGACAGUGAGAGAGAGCAUGAGCGAGGAGAAGGUCAGAGAGCGAAGCAGACUCCCCAUGGAGCUGGGAGCCUGAUGUGGGACUCGAUCCCGGGACUCCAGGAUCACGCCCUGAGCCGAAGGCAGUCGUCCAACCAACUGAGCCACCCAGGCGUCCCAACAACUGCAUUUUUUAAAAAAGAUUUUAUUUAUUUAUUUGACAGACAGAGGUCUCAAGGAGGCAGGGAGGUAGGCAUGGGGCAGGGGAAGCAGGCUCCCCGCUGAGCAGAGAGCCUGAUGCGGGGCUCAAUCCCAGGACCCUGAGAUCAUGACCCGAGCUGAAGGCAGAGGCUUUAACCCACUGAGCCACCCAGACGCCCCGACAGUUACAUUAAAAAAAAAAAUUACAUAGCUGUGGGGCAGGGGUGGGUUUGGCCCCAUCAUUUUGCACUUGAGGAAACUGAAUGGGGACAGGCAAAGACCUGCCUCUGGACAGUAGUGGCCCAGGUUCUCCCAACUCCCAGUCACGCACCAGUGCCCUUCUGCCCCAAGGCCCUGCCCCUUGCAGGGAACUGGAAAACAAACAACAACAACAAAAAUAACACUCUGCCUCCAGGGCUUAUGAAUGUCCCUGCUAGAGAGGAGAAGAUGGAGUGAGGAUUAGGGUUAGAGUUAGGGUUAUCUGGCAAUCUGGUUAGCACCAGAUGCAUAUCAAAAAUGAGGGAAGCCAUGGUUAUUCCAUAACAACGUCCUCUCGAGGCCAACAGGCAGACCUCCGCGGGCCUCGGGCACGGCGCGAGUGUGUGGAGUGAGGGCAGGGAGAAUAUCGUGGCCGUAUUUUUGAGUCUUUCUGAAAAGGUUAGGUCUAGUCACUUAGCUGUGCAUGGAAAGAGACUUAGGAAGCAAUGAAAGAAAGAGCCGCCCUAACUCUGAUGUAGGAGUUUCUCAAUGUGGGGCAUCAGCUUGUCUGGUGAGAGCAGCUGUCCUCAAAGGGAAGAUGAAACAGAUUUUGCUCAAUGACACACUAUGGACAUAACUGUCCAAGUGUCUCAAAGUGCUCAGAGGAGCACCAGGGACACAGAUAAAAUUACCUUUAAAGGGAAUAGAAGAUUCUGAGACAGGACCAGUGUCAGGUGUGAAACAGGAAACCCACAGCCCAGAGCUGUUCUAGCUGAUCCUUCUGCAGAUAAAACCGAGUGGCUUAACGCCCUGAUCUUAGGCAGUCAUUAGAGCUUCAGCCCAAACCCCACAAGGAAGAAAAGCAGUUUUCAUUUUUUAAACAGAGAAACUUAAAAAACAUUGCUUUAACAAAAAAGCACACAUACAUUAUGUCCCCAAGAAUUGUAUUAAAAAAGAAAUGGUACACAUAAUGUUUUCAUUGUGACUAAAUGUAUCCCCAUCCGCCCGCUUUAAAUAAACAUUGAACUCUGGAUAAUGACA